Cyprinus carpio (common carp) is the source of this 596-nucleotide long non-coding RNA. RefSeq lists it as uncharacterized. NCBI's taxonomy places the organism in Eukaryota, Metazoa, Chordata, Actinopteri, Cypriniformes, Cyprinidae. The record is from RefSeq and is a predicted model, not a curated record.
AUCUAAGAGCCAAACAAUCUACAAUUGCUCUUUGAACGUCAUGUAUCAUGGUGCUGGUCAGACUAUUAGACAAACUGACCUUUAGUACUGAUGGAUCCAUAAUAGUUCCACCAUGAUAAAACAUGACACAGUAGAUAAAGCUGAUUUGAGGGAUGCUGGGAGAACUAUACAGGAAAGAAGGCCAUCAGUUGGAUUUGCUGAUCUAGCAUUUCUCCUGCUCCGACUGAUUGUCUGCCAUCUAGCUGAUGUAAGACCAGCCCGUGGUGUGACAUACUGAAACUUCCAGGCAGUAAGAUGGAGUUUUGGAGGAUCGUAAGACCACUGGUGUAGGAUAUGAGACACUGCUUUGGGCAGUAGCAAAGAUGACAGAACGCUCUCAAGAAUGACUCACAGAUGGAGAAAGCACAAGAAAACGAGGGUUUGGAAAGGGAAAGCCAGCGAACAGCGUGAGCAGUGCAGCGCUGGAGCAUGUGAGGGCAAGAAGUACUUCAACACACACACAUUAAGAGCAUACCAGCGCUGUGUGUGCGUUAAGAGGGUUGGGUUUCUAAAUGACAGAUCAUUAUCAUGCUAAUUAAAGCAUUUUGUAGCUGUGA